RNAcentral lists this ribosomal RNA (484 nucleotides) under uncultured bacterium. RNAcentral describes it as "partial 16S ribosomal RNA". It matches the Rfam family "Bacterial small subunit ribosomal RNA", at positions 30 to 507 of the family's 1533-position model. The record is from RNAcentral.
AUUGAACGCUAGCGGGAUGCCUUACACAUGCAAGUCGAACGGCAGCACGGACUUCGGUCUGGUGGUGAGUGGCGAACGGGUGAGUAAUGUAUCGGAACGUGCCCAGUAGCGGGGGAUAACUACGCGAAAGCGUAGCUAAUACCGCAUACGUCCUACGGGGGAAAGCAGGGGAUCGCAAGACCUUGCACUAUUGGAGCGGCCGAUAUCGGAUUAGCUAGUUGGUGGGGUAACGGCUCACCAAGGCGACGAUCCGUAGCUGGUUUGAGAGGACGACCAGCCACACUGGGACUGAGACACGGCCCAGACUCCUACGGGAGGCAGCAGUGGGGAAUUUUGGACAAUGGGGGAAACCCUGAUCCAGCCAUCCCGCGUGUGCGAUGAAGGCCUUCGGGUUGUAAAGCACUUUUGGCAGGAAAGAAACGUCGCGGGUUAAUACCUCGCGAAACUGACGGUACCUGCAGAAUAAGCACCGGCUAACUACGUG